UUGGUGUUACUGCGAAGGGGGGACGGAGAAGGCUAUGUUAGCCGGGCGACGGUUGUCCCGGUUUAAGCAUGUAGGCUGGUUAUCCAGGCAAAUCCGGAUAAUCAAGGCUGAGGUGUGAUGACGAAGCACUACGGUGCUGAAGUAACAAAUGCCCUGCUUCCAGGAAAAGCCUCUAAGCAUCAGGUAACAUCAAAUCGUACCCCAAACCGACACAGGUGGUCAGGUAGAGAAUACCAAGGCGCUUGAGAGAACUCGGGUGAAGGAACUAGGCAAAAUGGUGCCGUAACUUCGGGAGAAGGCACGCUGGUGUGUAGGUGAAG
Molecule: ribosomal RNA, 320 nt
Filed under: Klebsiella quasipneumoniae subsp. similipneumoniae
Lineage: Bacteria; Pseudomonadati; Pseudomonadota; Gammaproteobacteria; Enterobacterales; Enterobacteriaceae
Description: partial 23S ribosomal RNA
Rfam family: Bacterial large subunit ribosomal RNA
Source: RNAcentral